RNAcentral lists this transfer RNA (86 nucleotides) under Planctomycetota bacterium. Its description in RNAcentral is "Planctomycetes bacterium (hot springs metagenome) tRNA-Ser". It matches the Rfam family "tRNA". Rfam says of the family: Transfer RNA (tRNA) molecules are approximately 80 nucleotides in length. Their secondary structure includes four short double-helical elements and three loops (D, anti-codon, and T loops). Further hydrogen bonds mediate the characteristic L-shaped molecular structure. tRNAs have two regions of fundamental functional importance: the anti-codon, which is responsible for specific mRNA codon recognition, and the 3' end, to which the tRNAs corresponding amino acid is attached (by aminoacyl-tRNA synthetases). tRNAs cope with the degeneracy of the genetic code in two manners: having more than one tRNA (with a specific anti-codon) for a particular amino acid; and 'wobble' base-pairing, i.e. permitting non-standard base-pairing at the 3rd anti-codon position. The record is from RNAcentral. Lineage: Bacteria; Pseudomonadati; Planctomycetota.
GGAUGGGUGGCCGAGUGGUUGAAGGCACCGGUCUUGAAAACCGGCGUGGGCUUUGCCCACCGGGGGUUCGAAUCCCUCCCCAUCCG